This is a long non-coding RNA of Magallana angulata, 2229 nucleotides long. RefSeq lists it as uncharacterized. The transcript is spliced from 11 exons. Lineage: Eukaryota; Metazoa; Mollusca; Bivalvia; Ostreida; Ostreidae. The record is from RefSeq and is a predicted model, not a curated record.
UGAAAAGACUCAAAACAUUCUUAGGUUCACGUCGUUCCGCUAAUUUUGUGUUUAAUAUAUAUGAACUCAAAGAGGUGAACUAUUCCGGUAUAAGUGGAGGACUUGUGAACAAUGGUCACCAUCUAUCCCUUAUUACAUCUGCAGUACGACGGUGUAGACCUCAGCACCUAAUUGUUUUCAUUGGAGGCAAUGAUUUGGACUCGAGUGAACUAGAUUUUAGUUUGGAAUGUAUUGUUUCUAAAUUGACUGCCAAUGUGACUCAACUUAAAAGGUGUUUCCAUUUAAAGUCUGUUACCGUGCUUAGUUUUCUCCCUAGAGAAGUGACUUAUUUAUAAUCAACGAGUCAAAAAAGCCACUAGACUUCUUAAGCAAUUUUGUGCUUGUCACACAGUAACAUUUUGGAAGCUGAGAGGAUUCGCGGAAAGUCAGAAACCAAUCUUAUGCGACGGGGUUCAUCUUAAUGACUUGGGGUUCCAUAAACUGUUUAGACAGAUUAGAGGUGUCCUAUUAAUUCAGCUAAGACAGGAACCCAAGCAUAGUCCUUCUGUAAACAGCAAUGACGACAGGGGCUUCUAGCUUUCAAAGCAUCCUGAUCAAUCUGCAGAUAAGACUUUCCAUCACUUGUUAAAAUUUGUUUGGAUACAGAUUAAGAUUGCAUCCACACCAAAACGCAGGAGGCGGAACAAGGCAGCCUCGCAUCCUCCCACAGAAACCCAACCUCAAAGCGGUCUUAUGUCUCAUGAGGACAGGGACACAAUGAUAAGGACGUGCAUGGCCUCUAACAUCCCAACCAUUUAAGAUACAUUCGACGCUAUAUGGAUGAAUAUCACCAUGGUGAGAGCAAUCCUUCAUCGCCAAUCCCCAUGCAGACUGCAACUUCACAACAGCAAUCAGCCGACACUCAACAAGCCUCUUCACAAGCAGUAACACCUGACCAUUCCCUACUGCAAGAGAUAACUUCUCAAGUUCAAAGCAUCCAGAUCAAUCUGAAGAUAAGACUUUGCAUCACUUGUUAUAAUUUGUUUGGACACAGAUUUAGAUGGCAUCCACACCAAAACGCAGGAGGCGGAACAAGGCAGCCUAGAAUCCUCCCACAGAAACCCAACCUCAAAGCGGUCUUAUGUCUCAUGAGGACAGGGAAACGAUGAUAAGGACGUGUAUGGCCUCUAUCAUCCCAACCAUUGAAGAUACUUUUUGACGCUAUAUGGAUGAAUAUCACCAUGUUGAGAACAAUCCUUCAUUGUCAAUCCCCAUGCAGACUGCAACUUCACAACAGCAAUCAGCCGACACACAACAAGCCUCUUCACAAGCAGUAACACCUGACCAUUCCCUACUGCAAGAGAUAACUUCUCAAGAGUUCCUCCAGGCUAGUGAGCUUCUACAGGAACUGGACUUUGUAACCCCAAUGUAGUGUGUUACGGAUUCGAGCUGUGUCCAGUUUUUAUUGAAGUUUACAUUUUUCCCCGCCAUUCUGAGAAGUGCAAUGUUUACAUGUGCUCCAGGCACAUUUUGAUUACUAUCUCGUCCAUUCGGCGCUCUUAAGCAACAAAGCGUGAAGAAUGGCUGUCUUUUACGGAUUAUAACUUGACGAAUACGUACGAUAUGUUCCGAAAGUAAAAGGAACCAGUUUACAAAAUGAUCAGAGCGCAUGCUGUUUACUCUACUUCUGGAGAAACACGUGUUUUAACCAAAGAAAAAUAAGUUGAAAGAGAGCGAUAAUGGAAUGAGAGUACAAAUGCACUGGAUGUUGACAUCAGAGAAGUGUUAAUACAAGAUUGAGCCGUGCGAAAAAAGGUUUGGCUAAAGUGAUUGGCUGAAUUAAUUGCUGAAAUAAUGAUUAUUUCCAACCAUCCUUGCAGAGGAGGUCCGCAGUCUUCUUUCAAACCUGAAGUGGUCUCGUGCACUGAGGUUGAUGUAAAAGAAGGUUUGCGUCACACACCCUGAGACUACAUCCACUGUCAACAGUGUCAUCAUCUGCUAUGUAGGAGGAGCGAAGUAGCACGCUGCGCAUGGCAUGAUCUGUACUGUUAUACUUCAACUGAUUGACAAGCGAAGCACGUGGAGUCCUGACGUAAAAUCCCGCUCAAUUGACCGACUAUGGAAACCUAAAAGUUUGUACCCUCUCCAGAUGAAUGUCUAAGUACAUGUAAUAAAGAACUGCUCCUACCGAGUUCUCUUGUUACACAAAUUCAGCCUCAAUUAAAGAGCAUGACCAAGAACAUUUACUAA